Molecule: small RNA, 415 nt
Filed under: Arabidopsis thaliana (thale cress)
Lineage: Eukaryota; Viridiplantae; Streptophyta; Magnoliopsida; Brassicales; Brassicaceae
Description: ATSL216430
Source: RNAcentral
UUGUAUACUAUAUUGAAAUUUUAACAAUUUCAAUCUAAUAAGAAUCAAUAUCGGAUCGUUUUGAAGAUUUUAUAUCGAAUUCUUUGAACAAAAGAUAAUGCAAUCUCUUAUUUUAACCGAUGUAAGACAUUGAACCAACAUAUUUUCAUCAAUUGGAUAAUAUUUAUAUGUGUUUUAAAAUAUAGAAUCACAAUAUAUGCGGGAAUGUUAUGAAUAUUAGAUGGAUGCCCAUUAUAAGGCCCAUCUUCUAGAUCUUCUAGAUCCUUCUAGAAUAGAAUAUUCUGUAAUUAUCCUGUAGAAACCCUAACCUUGUACUCCUAUAUAAAGGACCUUUCAUUCAUUGAAAUAAUACACACAAAUCUUCCUCUUCUUCUUCUUCUUUUCUAACAGGGAAAUGUUUUUGUGGGAUUUGUUA